Molecule: ribosomal RNA, 301 nt
Filed under: uncultured bacterium
Lineage: Bacteria
Description: partial 16S ribosomal RNA
Rfam family: Bacterial small subunit ribosomal RNA
Source: RNAcentral
CAGCAGCCACGGGAAUACGUAGGGCGCAAGCGUUGUCCGGAAUUAUUGGGCGUAAAGAGCUCGUAGGCGGUCUGUCGCGUCUGGUGUGAAAUCCCGAGGCUCAACCUCGGGCUUGCAUCGGGUACGGGCAGACUAGAGUGCGGUAGGGGAGACUGGAAUUCCUGGUGUAGCGGUGGAAUGCGCAGAUAUCAGGAGGAACACCGAUGGCGAAGGCAGGUCUCUGGGCCGCAACUGACGCUGAGGAGCGAAAGCAUGGGGAGCGAACAGGAUUAGAUACCCCCGUAGUCCCUGUCUCUUAUAC